CGUGCGCAGGGGGCUGAGGCAGUGAAGCGGCGGCGGCGCCGGGCGGAGGUGGCGGCGAUGGAGCCGGGAUACGGCGGCUAUGGCACCUGGAGCACCGGGGCCACCGGCACCCAGGGUUCCUACGGCACCAACACGAGCA
Molecule: long non-coding RNA, 139 nt
Organism: Zonotrichia leucophrys gambelii
Lineage: Eukaryota; Metazoa; Chordata; Aves; Passeriformes; Passerellidae
Exons: 3
Source: RefSeq, a predicted model, not a curated record